Molecule: long non-coding RNA, 1287 nt
Filed under: Cyanistes caeruleus (blue tit)
Lineage: Eukaryota; Metazoa; Chordata; Aves; Passeriformes; Paridae
Description: lncRNA (ENSCCEG00000011486.1)
Source: RNAcentral
AUUUGCUGUGCUUUGGGACAUGGUGGCAGUGUCCAGUUCGCACACUUGAAAUUGGGUUUGUUUGGGUUUUUUUGUUUUGGUUGGUUUCUUACAAGCCUGAUAACAGGGUCAGGGUGCACAAGGCAAGCUGAGAAUCAUCUGGGCACGUGUUUUCCCUUGGCACGAGGUCAGGUGUGUACCUGUUGUCCACGUUCAUGGGUUGAGCCUCUCCAUCGCCCGUCUGUCCUUGCAGCACUGCCCAGUGCUGGGCAGACGGGCUAGCCUGGGGCUGUUGCUGGAAGGGCACGGAUGUUGAGUUCUGCCAGGCAGACAGGUUUUGUUGGUAGCCUGAAUGACGAGUCCCCUGCAGGUCGUGUGGAUGAGCUGUGCUGUGUGACGGCGUUCCAACCUGGAUUUCCUGCCCGGCUCUGGCGGCCACGGAUGGCCGGCAUAGCCCGAGAGGUGAGGACACGACGUGUUCGAAGUGAGAGAGUCCAGCCAGGGACUGCAGCCAGAGAGAAAGGCGGGAGCUCGGUGUUCCUGAUUUACAGCUUCGCUGCAUCAAAGGAGGGAAACACAUUGAAGAGCUCAAAGCUUCUCGUAGGAACAGAGUUCUGCCAGCAGCUGCUGUGGCAGAGGAUUGGAUGCUUCCAUCAGGAGAAACCUAAACUCUUGGAAGUGCUUUUCCAGUUGCAAAGAAGGCAUUUGACUGUGGUGCCCAUCCCUGUUUUAUAGCAUGAGAAGAUGACAUGGGAGAUAGAUGUUUCUGAGAUAAGUCAGUGAGUUAAAAGUCAAAGUUCAGUUUUUAAGUUCUGUAAGACAGCAGUUAUUUCCGUCGAGAGUGAAGAGAAAUCUUUUCUUUAAAGUAAGUUCUGCCAUUUUAGUAAUGUUUUUUAAGAUUUUCUUUAUAACUGUUUGAAGUAGGCUGCUAGGUUGUUGAGGAACAGGAGAAAAAGUACAAUCAAAAAUAUUUUUAAGUAGUCAACAGUCCUUAAAAAGUAUGAAGUGUGAAACCUUGGAAAAAGUAAGCUUUAGUUCUGUUGCAGCUGUAAUGGAUUACAUGUUGUGACAUGGUCAGGCAUUCUAACAAGACUAUUUUAUAUAUAUUGAAAAGAAACCUAAGAAUCUGAUGCUAGAGAGUUUAUUGUGUGGUUUGUAAUAUGGGCGAGAAAAAGGUUAAUUUGUUGGCAUAGCAAUGAAGUUCUCACAGUCCAAAUGCUUAAAUAUUUAAUCUAGGAUUGGAGAAAACAUAAGGAAAAGUUACCUCUGAAACUACUGUCAGUACCUUCUACAGCACUUGUGUUGAGG